This is a long non-coding RNA of Thrips palmi, 359 nucleotides long. RefSeq lists it as uncharacterized. NCBI's taxonomy places the organism in Eukaryota, Metazoa, Arthropoda, Insecta, Thysanoptera, Thripidae. The transcript has 3 exons. The record is from RefSeq and is a predicted model, not a curated record.
CGCUAUCUGAUUCUUGGCAGAGAUGAACCCAAAACAGGACCGAAACUGACCAGUCAUCAUCACCGCCUUGCUGUUGUUGUUCCGCGUUGUUGCGUCAGUUAUAAAAGGAACGCGCCUGCAACACGUGGUGGCAGUCAAGCAGAUCCUUGUCCCCUUCGUUUCAAAUUCUGUCUUGGUGCGUCCUCUCGCGUAUAAUGGGGACUAGGGUGCCGAGCGCCGGAAUGGUGUGGGGUCUUGGGGAGCAUCAACAUCAGGUCAACAAGACUACUGGAGGAAGAACGUUCGUUCUAAGGUGCAGUGCUGUAAGUGACACAUUGUUUAAUCAUGAAUAAAUACAACCAAUAAAGCAUUUACAGAAA